This is a long non-coding RNA of Oncorhynchus tshawytscha (Chinook salmon), 119 nucleotides long. RefSeq lists it as uncharacterized. NCBI's taxonomy places the organism in Eukaryota, Metazoa, Chordata, Actinopteri, Salmoniformes, Salmonidae. The transcript has 2 exons. The record is from RefSeq and is a predicted model, not a curated record.
UUGCUAUCUAACUGGGAGUCUCCUGAGUGAAAGCAUCCAAAGUUCUUCAAAGGUGAAUUACAGGAGAAGGUGAUUCACUCAAUCUAACCAGGAGACUGGGUGUGGAUUCAGUCCCUGAG